Molecule: long non-coding RNA, 1220 nt
Filed under: Marmota monax (woodchuck)
Lineage: Eukaryota; Metazoa; Chordata; Mammalia; Rodentia; Sciuridae
Source: RNAcentral
GGUGACUGCUUAUUUUUAGAUCAGGAGUUCACAGUGCAGCUUUCACCAGAAGACCCCAGCCUGGCCAGGCCUGCGCACUCAAGAGUCUUACCUGAUGGGGCUUCUGCAACCAGAAGCAGCUGACCAUCGUUACAAAACUGGAGUCCCUACUAAAGCCACAUCUAAUUUGAGACCCAGACUAAAACUAUGGCUUAUAUAACCUAAGCCAUUCAUAGCGAUCAUAAAUAGGGCACACACAUGCUUCUAAAACAAAAUGUUAAAAAAGACCUUACUGCUCAUAUUUGAAAUGGAAAGCUGAAUACGAAGAAGUUCUAAUGCAAUCAUUUUGACAACAAAAAUCAAUUGAUUUUGACUUACUUUCACUGGUAAAUCCUCAGAAAGUAUAGACUCAAAUUAGGACUCUCAGAGUUGAAUUGAUAUGAUUUCAGCCACUUCAUCCUGACAGACACACACGGCAUAGACCGAGUGAGUGUCCGCCAGCAGGAGGUGCUGCGGGGAGUGGCAGGAGCCAUGUUGGUACUCCUGCGUGUGUGCUCAGGACAGUCAGUCUGGGCCAUCACUCAGAGGCCCUAGCGGACAGGAAAAGUUAGCCUCUGAGUAGGACUUAUUUUCAUACUUCCUUUGGGUAGGGGGCCUGUUUCCUUCCCUGCGUGGUGGUUGUGGUGGACCUUUGGAAGGGAAGAAGUGCUUGAUUUGCCACCUCAAGCCCUCCAUUCCUGAGUCCUUUCAUCUACACGUUGGUACACAAUUGCAGGAAUCAUGCGUCUAUCACGGAGCUGGAGUUUUCAGACAAAACGUAGCUCAAUGUAACGCAACUGUGACGGACACAAACAAUUGUGAUGGCCUUCAAAGCUUCUACUGGGCCAUUAUAUUGAAAUCUUAUAUGUUAAUUUCUAUGAUGCACACUAAACAGCAGUUUAUGUGAUGUGAACACUUAAACAAUACCUAGACAUCAUCCCUAACAAUUAGAUUAGGAUGCAUGUUCCCAGGCAAUUUUCCCAAUGUGUGAAUAUUCAGAUGAGAUGAAACCCUGCCAAGUGAUUUGAUCAGUGACCAGUUGGAGACACACCAGAGGCCAGACUAAUGCCCAUGGCCUCCAAACAAGUGCCAGGAAGCACGAUGGUGCUUUUGGAACUCUGCAAAGCCCAGCUGUGACUGUGCACUCUGCUCUCUCUCGUCGAGGGACUCACCUCGACCUACCAGUGAUCCUAAGGCCCUUC